AGUAACGGCGAGUGAACGGAGAUUAGCCCAACAUCGAAGCCUAUUCAUGUAUAUGGACAAGGCAAUGUGAUGUUUGAGUACGCAUCUUGGAUUGCUCGUCUAUUCGAAGUCCAACUCCGAUUAUGGCUUUGGAUUUGUCCCUUAGAGGGUGAAAGGCCCGUUCGAGUAGACACUGUUGUUUAUGAGCUCUCCUUUGAUAUGUGUACUUUGGAGUCGGAUUGCUUGAGAAUGCAGUCCAAAGUGGGUGGUAAACUCCAUCCAAGGCUAAAUACUGGCGCGAGUCCGAUAGUAGACAAGUACCGUGAGGGAAAGUUGAAAAGUACUCUGAAGAGAGAGUAAAUAGUACGUGAAGCCGACUGGAUGGAAGCUGGUGGAGUCAAGCUUUAAGCAAAGGGAAUUGAUGCGGAGAUGUUGUUGUUCUUAAAGACCGGCUUUUGUUGCUUUCAAAUAGCUUGGUGGUUCGCCACCUUAUGUUAUCUGGGCUGAUGACUUUUUUUAGCCUCGGUCUUCCAUCUCGUGUGUUAUUUCUUCUUGCUGUAAUCAUGGUCAAUGCUAUUGUUGUGUGCCCCAGUCUAACCGGAUUUUUGUAAGCAUUAGCUUUCAUGAUGCGGGACGGCAGGUGGUGGCAUUCGAGUUUAGGCUUGUCUGUCACGUAUAGUGGUUUUACUUGCUGAUUUGGGCGCUUUCAAUACCGUCAAGAGCAUUGAUUUUUCUGCAUUUAGAGCCUUAAUUGGCUACUGAUGUGAGAGCCAUGAUUAUGAAGUAGACUUUCCACCGGGCCCGUCUUGAAACACGGACCAAGGAGUUUAACUUGCUCGCGAGUCAAAGGGUUAUUUAAAAAUCCAAUGGCGUAAUGAAAGUAAACGGUUGCUUUUCGCGGCCGAAGGUGUGAUCUUUGUUAGCUCUGAACAGUGCUGCAAGGCGUAACACCGGCCCGUCUCAUAAUGUAGUAAUGCUUGUUACGGCAAGCGUUCGUCAUGAGGCGGUGCAAGAGCGAGUAGGUUGAGACCCGAAAGAUGGUGAACUAUGCUUGCGUAGGUUGAAGCCAGAGGAAACUCUGGUGGAGGACCGUCGCGGUUUUGACGUGCAAAUCGAUCGUCAAACGUGAGCAUAGGGGCGAAAGACUAAUCGAACCAUCUAGUAGCUGGUUCCCUCCGAAGUUUCCCUCAGGAUAGCUGGCACUCAUUUAAUACAGUUUUAUCCGAUAAAGCGAAUGAUUAGAGGUAUUGGGGACUAUAUGACCUCAACCUAUUCUCAAACUAUUAAUGGGUACGAUGCACGGCUCGCUUAAUUGGAGUUGUGCAUUGAAUGUGAGUGCCAAGUGGGCCAUUUUUGGUAAGCAGAACUGGCGCUGUGGGAUGCUCCGAACGUCGAGAUAAGGUGCCCAAUAUUGACGCUCAUGAGAUACCACAAAAGGUGUUAAUGCAUAUAGACAGCAGGACGGUGGCCAUGAAAGUCGGAAUCCGCUAAGGA
Molecule: ribosomal RNA, 1473 nt
Filed under: Ancyrocephalinae gen. sp. 13 IBC-2015
Lineage: Eukaryota; Metazoa; Platyhelminthes; Monogenea; Dactylogyridea; Dactylogyridae
Description: eukaryotic LSU rRNA
Rfam family: Eukaryotic large subunit ribosomal RNA
Source: RNAcentral